This is a long non-coding RNA of Haliotis rubra (blacklip abalone), 354 nucleotides long. RefSeq lists it as uncharacterized. NCBI's taxonomy places the organism in Eukaryota, Metazoa, Mollusca, Gastropoda, Lepetellida, Haliotidae. The record is from RefSeq and is a predicted model, not a curated record. The transcript is spliced from 3 exons.
CAAAGAUAUUGUGCACCAGUCAUUCCAUAUUGUACAGAUUCUGAUUAGAGAAACUGUAUAUUCUUCGUGCUCCCUCAAGCCCCCACCCAGUGGCACUUAAAGCACUUAAGGGACUUUGAAUUUCAUCUACAACCCCGGAUGUUUGCGUGUCGGAUGUUUUGCUUGCUGACAGCGCUGACGAUGGCGAUUCUGAUCGCCCUUGAAUCAUCAUCGGCUCUGAUUGCCCCAACAAGCGACGUGAACCCCAUUUGCAAGACGACAGCGGAGACGCUGAUACCCUACCCCACUAAUUGUGCCAGGUACUACAACUGCAGCGCUCCGCCUCAAUAUCGCCGACUUCUCCUUCAUUGAAAA